This 559-nucleotide ribosomal RNA is filed under the name Escherichia coli. RNAcentral describes it as "bacterial LSU rRNA". It matches the Rfam family "Bacterial large subunit ribosomal RNA", at positions 1 to 590 of the family's 2925-position model. Lineage: Bacteria; Pseudomonadati; Pseudomonadota; Gammaproteobacteria; Enterobacterales; Enterobacteriaceae. The record is from RNAcentral.
GGGUUGUGAGGUUAAGCGACUAAGCGUACACGGUGGAUGCCCUGGCAGUCAGAGGCGAUGAAGGACGUGCUAAUCUGCGAUAAGCGUCGGUAAGGUGAUAUGAACCGUUAUAACCGGCGAUUUCCGAAUGGGGAAACCCAGUGUGAUUCGUCACACUAUCAUUAACUGAAUCCAUAGGUUAAUGAGGCGAACCGGGGGAACUGAAACAUCUAAGUACCCCGAGGAAAAGAAAUCAACCGAGAUUCCCCCAGUAGCGGCGAGCGAACGGGGAGCAGCCCAGAGCCUGAAUCAGUGUGUGUGUUAGUGGAAGCGUCUGGAAAGGCGCGCGAUACAGGGUGACAGCCCCGUACACAAAAAUGCACAUACUGUGAGCUCGAUGAGUAGGGCGGGACACGUGGUAUCCUGUCUGAAUAAGGGGGUACCAUCCUCCAAGGCUAAAUACUCCUGACUGACCGCUAGUGAACCAGUACCGGGAGCGAAAGGCGGACAGAACCCCGGCGAGGGGAGCAAAAUAGACCCUGAAACCGUGAUCGUACACGCAGUGGGAGCCUCUGUUAUG